This is a long non-coding RNA of Scophthalmus maximus (turbot), 1216 nucleotides long. RefSeq lists it as uncharacterized. The record is from RefSeq and is a predicted model, not a curated record. The transcript has 5 exons. Lineage: Eukaryota; Metazoa; Chordata; Actinopteri; Pleuronectiformes; Scophthalmidae.
UGCCCAACAGAAGUGUGAGAGUGUGUGAGAGAGAGAGAGGGAGAGGGAGAGAGAGAGAAAGAGAGGGGGAGAGAGACACCACGCCUUCACAGCAGUGGGAGCAGAGGGAGAGCGCGCGCACCUCGAGUGCCCGGCCCCUCCUUUACGCACGGCAGACAGCUCCCGGCAGACCAGGCGCACUUGGAGACGCGCUCACAGGUUUCGAGUAACCACCGACGCUCCCUGAUGGAAUAAAGAUGUUGCUACUCGUCUUCAGGCACAAGCAAUACAGCAGAUUUCGAACCCAAUCAGACGCAGUGGUACGCGAUGGGACAUGCUGUGUGGAGGCCAGCGGCUGCCGGUGGGGGGUGGUGAAAAGCUCUCCGCCACCUCGUGAUUGGACGACACUUGUACAAAUCCAAACUGUGUUUGAAGGACACACAGACGUGGGAACACCGCAGAAGUGGAGGCCACAGGCAGAGCGAGCGUUCAAGAGCUGAAUUCAUUAAUUGGUGAAACCGCGGCCGCCUCACGAUCCUUGUGAUUGUGUCUCCCCUGUACUUGACAAAUGAACUGGUCACUGGAAAAAGCCUCUGAGAGGAGAAAUGCCUCUUCAACCGCAAGACGGCUGGAAAACAUGGUCAAGAAAGUGAUCCAUUCCGUCAGUGGGCCGGCCAGCGGGACCAACGGGGACCAGCCAUUUGGACGUGAUGGAACAGGAAGGUUAACAAGCCAACAGUGAUUAUCUUUUAGUGUUCCGCCAGAGUUGAUGUUGCCAUGAUGAACAAAUAUGUGUAGGUAAAAUGACACACCGAGGACCAACGGCCUCCUUCACUGUCCUCCAUGGAUUACUUUGCUCUUCAAUAACUUAAUAUGCUGUUAGGGAUGGAUCAUAAAAUCCGAGAAAUCCCAUCUCAUACACAGCUGUAGUAAUUCUUUGCCACAUCUUAACAGUGGAGGAAAUGGGACAAGAAAUCUUCCCCUUGUAUCAGGAGGAGGUGAGUGCUGGAUAUUUUUCUUAACUUUUAACUGCAACUGUAAUCGUCACCAUAAUUUGCACUGGAACCUUUGUAGCCAUGGUAUUGUAGCAGGGCAAAGGCUGUGGCAAUGACAGUUGAUUACUUUGUUCAACAUUUGGUCCAGACUGAAAUACAGUAUCUCUUUAAAUAUUCUGGAUUGCCAUCGGCCUUCAGAAUAACUUUGAUGAUCGUCACAUUUUCCUCCAGCAUCAUUGAGG